GGUGGGGGGAGCCGAAGUGACGUAACGUGGCGUAUGCGUAACGUGGGUUCUGGGAGAAGCAGCGGAACGUGAAGUUGGGUGGCUGUACCGGAAGGAGGUGCGAAUUUUCAGGACUUGACACUUCCAGUUUAAACCUCAAGAUGAAGAAAGUGAGACCCAGAAAGGCUGAGUCACUCAUUCAACUGAACCAUUUCAACAACCAGAUCUGGCCUCUAUUCCUGUUGUUGCAGACGUAUGUGUAUUUUAAUUAAU
This is a long non-coding RNA of Balaenoptera acutorostrata (minke whale), 252 nucleotides long. RefSeq lists it as uncharacterized. The transcript has 3 exons. NCBI's taxonomy places the organism in Eukaryota, Metazoa, Chordata, Mammalia, Artiodactyla, Balaenopteridae. The record is from RefSeq and is a predicted model, not a curated record.